This 585-nucleotide ribosomal RNA is filed under the name uncultured bacterium. RNAcentral describes it as "bacterial SSU rRNA". It matches the Rfam family "Bacterial small subunit ribosomal RNA", at positions 338 to 941 of the family's 1533-position model. The record is from RNAcentral.
CCUACGGGAGGCAGCAGUGAGGAAUUUUCCGCAAUGGGCGAAAGCCUGACGGAGCAAUACCGCGUGAGGGAUGAAGGAUUUUGGUCUGUAAACCUCUUUUCUCAAGAAAGAAGUUCUGACGGUACUUGAGGAAUAAGCAUCGGCUAACUCCGUGCCAGCAGCCGCGGUAAUACGGGGGAUGCAAGCGUUAUCCGGAAUGAUUGGGCGUAAAGCGCCUGUAGGUUGUUUAUUAAGUCCGUUGUUAAAGCCUAGGGCUCAACCCUAGAAAAGCAAUGGAAACUAGUAGACUAGAGUAUGGCAGGGGUAGAGGGAAUUUCUAGUGUAGCGGUGAAAUGCGUAGAUAUUAGAAAGAACACCGGUGGCGAAAGCGCUCUACUGGACCAUUACUGACACUCAGAGGCGAAAGCUAGGGUAGCAAAAGGGAUUAGGUACCCCUGUAGUCCUAGCCGUAAACGAUGGAUACUAGAUGUUGUGCAUUAUGUACAGUAUCGUAGCUAACGCGUUAAGUAUCCCGCCUGGGGAGUACGCUCGCAAGGGUGAAACUCAAAGGAAUUGACGGCUGAGANGCAGACGACACGAGGAGAG